GCGUCCGGUAGGGGCCCUCUGGCCCUAUCAACGACCCGAGUUUGGAGUCCCUGGGGCUCGGCCUCGGCGAGAUACGGCCCGUCAAAUCUUCGACCUUAGGGGGGCGCUAUCCCCGGCCCCCGGGGGGCCAUCGGCCCGCGGGUGGCGGCG
This 150-nucleotide unclassified non-coding RNA is filed under the name autotetraploid Carassius auratus red var. x Megalobrama amblycephala. RNAcentral's name for it is "partial external transcribed spacer". Lineage: Eukaryota; Metazoa; Chordata; Actinopteri; Cypriniformes. The record is from RNAcentral.